CGGGGUGAGUAAUGUCUGGGAAACUGCCUGAUGGAGGGGGAUAACUACUGGAAACGGUAGCUAAUACCGCAUAAUGUCGCAAGACCAAAGUGGGGGACCUUCGGGCCUCUUGCCAUCGGAUGUGCCCAGAUGGGAUUAGCUAGUAGGUGGGGUAACGGCUCACCUAGGCGACGAUCCCUAGCUGGUCUGAGAGGAUGGCCAGCCACACUGGAACUGAGACACGGUCCAG
RNAcentral lists this ribosomal RNA (229 nucleotides) under uncultured bacterium. RNAcentral's name for it is "partial 16S ribosomal RNA". It matches the Rfam family "Bacterial small subunit ribosomal RNA", at positions 104 to 334 of the family's 1533-position model. The record is from RNAcentral.